This 321-nucleotide ribosomal RNA is filed under the name Aspergillus sp. BAB-3907. RNAcentral's name for it is "eukaryotic LSU rRNA". The stretch from base 1 to 99 matches the Rfam family "5.8S ribosomal RNA", at positions 56 to 154 of the family's 154-position model. Lineage: Eukaryota; Fungi; Ascomycota; Eurotiomycetes; Eurotiales; Aspergillaceae. The record is from RNAcentral.
CGAUACUUGGUGUGAAUUGCAGAAUUCAGUGAAUCAUCGAGUCUUUGAACGCACAUUGCGCCCCCUGGUAUUCCGGGGGGCAUGCCUGUCCGAGCGUCAUUGCUGCCCUCAAGCCCGGCUUGUGUGUUGGGUCGCCGUCCCCCUCUCCGGGGGGACGGGCCCGAAAGGCAGCGGCGGCACCGCGUCCGAUCCUCGAGCGUAUGGGGYUUUGUCACAUGCUCUGUAGGAUUGGCCGGCGCCUGCCGACGUUUUCCAAMCAUUCUUUCCAGGUUGACCUCGGAUCAGGUAGGGAUACCMSCGCUGAACUUAAGCAUAUCAAUA